GCACGCGGGAGGUUGACAAUUCAAAUCCGUUAACAGGACCUGGCUUCUCACGAACUGUCUGUUGUAAUCAACCUGAAGUCCAUGAGAAAAAGCCAUUGAAAUACUGCUCGAAUUACAUAUCCACGACCAAAUAUAAUGUUCUUUCUUUCUUGCCUAAGGCUCUCUUUGAGCAAUUCCGGAGGGUUGCCAAUUUGUACUUCCUUUUGGCUGCAUUGUUAUCGCUCACACCAGUUGCCCCAUUUUCUGCCAUGAGCAUGAUUGCUCCUUUGGUAUUUGUUGUUGGGCUCAGUAUGGCUAAAGAAGCUCUUGAGGACUGGCGUCGAUUUGUG
RNAcentral lists this unclassified non-coding RNA (329 nucleotides) under Hevea brasiliensis (rubber tree). The record is from RNAcentral. Lineage: Eukaryota; Viridiplantae; Streptophyta; Magnoliopsida; Malpighiales; Euphorbiaceae.